UCCAACCAGCUAGUACGAUUGACUGACCAAUAGAAAGCUAAAUGCCACGGUACAAGUAAACUAAGCAAGCUCACGAAUUAGAUAUGGUUACGACUAGAAUUUCUUGUUUUCACGUUUUUAAAAAUAUAGCUAAAGUUGCGUCAUUGACAUUGUAAAAGAGAUACACACGUUGCACAUUAUGAAAUAAAGAAAAAGCUGGCGACUUUGACAGACUGAGCAGUACAGUAAGUAACGUUAGCCUGCCACUGGAAGAAAGUGAAGACAGCAACUCAGUAAGGUCUACACAUUGGCCAAACUAUCUAUCAAUGCUAAUUGGAGACUACCCCACUGGAAGAUGAGGUCAACCACCUCAGGUGUCAACUGCCUGUCUCUCUCUCAGAAAAAGCUGUGCCUUGCCCACACCAAGGCAGUGACAAGGGAGAGGGAGGCAAAAGCACCAGUCAAGAUCCAGGUCAUGGACAGGACACACCAGACAGGACCCACCAGACCUACAGCCAUCUUGGGUAGUGCACACCUCAGGCUGGCAAACCUGGAUAGGGUGUUCCCCAAGGACCAACCAGCUGCCUGGCUCAGAACCAGUCCUACCUGGCCCAAUCCACUCCUGCUUCUUGUCCCUCACUGCGCUGGGUAUCACCAGGUCACAAACCAUAACAGGCUGGAAAAGUUAGUGAAAAAAGUUGUGAGUUGCAAGAUAGUAGGUAGCCAGCUAUGCAGCCUCACAGACAAGAAUAUGCACACAAAAAGGACAAGGACAUAAUUUCUAACCAGUAUGCAUUCCUACCAUCAGGGCACAGGAUAGUGGAAGUGGCUUCUGGCUUUAUACCUGCCUCUGUAAGGCUACUGAGUGUGUGACCAAUGACCAUUAAUAUUUGUGAUCCAUCGCAGGUUUUCCUGAAGCACCUGCAACCAGCACAACUGUACAUCCUUUUUUUGACAGUGUUCAACAUUGGGGUUUUUUCUCCAAUGUUUCUAACAUUUCAGUGCAGCAAGCAAAUCAUUUAUUUUGACUUACUGUGAGGUGUUACUGAUAUUAAUUUCAUAGGUGAUCUAUCAAGAGCAACUUGCUAAAGAUAAGCUAAGUGUAUAGCCUACAUCAGGAAUACUUAAAACGAGGAAUUACAAAAAUGCAUAAUCUGUCUCAUGUCUGUUAUCUGAUAGCUAGUUCUGCCCUAUCCUAAACCUAUUUCAAUGUUUGGUCCUCGUGAACAGGAGACAAAAGGAAUGAGUCAAGUCAGUCACAGUCAGAUAUUUUAUUUUCAAAACAAUUAUAUUUCCAACAGUGCUACACUAAUUUGAAAAAAUAAAUAAUUAUACAAUUGAAUAAAUAAAGUACUGUCCUAAUACACUGCUCAAAAAAAUAAAGGGAACACUUAAACAACACAAUGUAACUCCAAGUCAAUCACACUUCU
Long non-coding RNA from Coregonus clupeaformis (lake whitefish), 1409 nucleotides. RefSeq lists it as uncharacterized. The transcript has 4 exons. Lineage: Eukaryota; Metazoa; Chordata; Actinopteri; Salmoniformes; Salmonidae. The record is from RefSeq and is a predicted model, not a curated record.